GAUGAAGAACGUAGCGAAAUGCGAUAAGUAGUGUGAAUUGCAGAAUUCAGUGAAUCAUCGAAUCUUUGAACGCACAUUGCGCCCUUCGGUAUUCCGUUGGGCAUGCCUGUUCGAGCGUCAUUUAAACCUUCAAGCUCUGCUUGGUGUUGGGUGUUUGUUCCGCCUGCGCGCGCGGACUCGCCUCAAAUUCAUUGGCAGCCGGUAUGUUGGCUUCGUGCACAGCACAUUGUGUCGCGACUCCAGCCUGCCUCCUUCCAUCCAGCCCCCCUAUUACUUUGGCCUCGGAUCAGGUAGGGAUACCCGCUGAACUUAAGCAUAUCAAUAAGCGGAGGA
Molecule: unclassified non-coding RNA, 333 nt
Filed under: soil metagenome
Description: partial contains 5.8S ribosomal RNA, internal transcribed spacer 2, and large subunit ribosomal RNA
Rfam family: 5.8S ribosomal RNA (bases 1-120)
Source: RNAcentral